GGUUCCGUAGUGUAGUGGUUAUCACGUUCGCUUUACACGCGAAAGGUCUCCGGUUCGAUCCCCGACGGAACCA
Trichonephila clavipes is the source of this 73-nucleotide non-coding RNA. NCBI's taxonomy places the organism in Eukaryota, Metazoa, Arthropoda, Arachnida, Araneae, Nephilidae. The record is from the annotation of a GenBank genome assembly.